Molecule: RNA transcript, 2796 nt
Organism: Phragmites australis (common reed)
Lineage: Eukaryota; Viridiplantae; Streptophyta; Magnoliopsida; Poales; Poaceae
Gene name: C-terminal binding protein AN-like
Exons: 8
Source: RefSeq, a predicted model, not a curated record
GACAUUUGAGAGUGCACCGCAUCACGAGAGACACGAGAAUUACCACGAUCCGACAUGCAACGCUCCCCUCGUGAACCGGUGGGGCUACCACUCUGACACCCGCAAUCCUCCCCACAAACAAAGCAGCCACCGCGGCCGGAGCGGCGGAGCCGGAGACCUGGGCCAAAACCCACGCAACAGCCUCGCCCCGCUCCUGAUCCGAGCGCCCCAAGCCGAGCCAGGAUGGCCCAUUCACCGGCGUCAGGCGGCGGGCAGCCGCUGGUGGUGUCGCUGAACUGCCUCGACGACCCCUCGCUGGAGCAGGAGGGUCUGGCCGGCGUGGCCGCGGUGGAGCACGUGCCCCUCUCCGCCGUCGCCUCCGGCCGCGUCGAGGCCGCAGCCGCCGUGCUGCUCCCCUCCCUCGCCUUCCUCCCGCGCGCCGCGCAGCGCCGGCUCCGCCCGUGGCAGCUCCUGCUCUGCCUCGGCUCCUCCGACCGCGCGGCCGACUCCGCGGUCGCCGCGGACCUGGGCCUCCGCCUGGUGCACGUCGACGCCAACCGCGCCGAGGAGGUCGCCGACACCGUCAUGGCGCUCAUGCUAGGCCUGCUCCGCCGGACCCACCUACUCUCCCGCCACCCCUCGUCUGCCCCUGCCGCAGUUGCCGCCGGUUGGCUCGGCUCCGUCCAGCCGAUGUGCCGCGGCAUGCGGCGCUGCCGUGGCCUCGUGCUUGGCAUCAUUGGCCUAUCCGCCGCUGCGCGCUGCCUCGCAACUCGCAGCCUCGCCUUCCGGAUGAGCGUGCUCUACUUCGAUCCGCGCUAUGCGGCCAACGGGACAAUAAAGCGGCCUUCCAUUGUAUUUCCUUCUGCGGCGAGGCGAAUGGAUACUCUCAAUGAUUUAUUAGCAGCAAGUGAUCUUGUUUCAUUGCAUUGCGCAUUAACAAAUGACACCAUGCAUAUACUUAGUGCUGACUGCCUUCAGCACAUAAAACCUGGAGCUUUCAUAGUCAAUACUGGUAGUUGCCAGCUUAUAGAUGACUGUGCACUCAAACAGCUCUUGAUUGAUGGUACCAUAGCUGGUUGUGCAUUGGAUGGUGCUGAAGGUCCACAAUGGAUGGAAGCUUGGGUGCGGGAGAUGCCAAAUGUUUUAAUUCUCCCGCGAAGUGCAGACUACAGUGAAGAAGUGUGGAUGGAAAUAAGAGACAAAGCAAUCACGAUAUUACAAUCCUUUUUCUUUGAUGGUGUUCUUCCAAGUAGUGCAAUUUCUGAUGAAGACGAGGAAAUUAGUGGAGCUGGAAAUGAAGACAAUGAUGUAGAUUCACAUGUAAAAGAUAGCAAGUCUCAGGUUUCUUAUGUUGAACAGAAGACUGAUGAAAGCCACCUAACUAUGGAGUAUGAAAAGAAACAAGCCAUAUCCCACCAUAAAGAGCCUCAAGCUUCAGGGCAAUCUCUAAACAUUGGAUCCCGAUCUGAAGGAAGGCGCAGUCGUCCUGGAAAGAAAGGGAAAAAGAGGCCUGCUCACCGCAGAUCUCAACAGAAACCGGAUGACUUGUCUGCUGUAGAGAGUGACAGUAAUUAUUCCUCACGGAGAGAUGAUGACACUGCAAUGAGUAGCAGAGACCAGGUUUUAAGUUCCAGUUCGAGAUUUGCUUCUCCUGAGGACUCAAAAUACAAGCAGAAAUCUCUUGCUGAAUCCCCAAUGGAAAUAACCUCUGAGAAGAAAUUGCCUACAGUGCUCAAUAGAAAAUAUCCAGAUAAACUGAAAGAUGGUUUUGUUGUAGCUUUGCGAACAAGAAAUAAUUCAGGGUACCAUGUUGCCAGACAGAGGGUAGUAGGUGGUGGUGGUUGGAUCCUUGAUAUUGUGUCAAAUGCUACGAACAGGGACCCUGCUGCUCAGUUCCUAGUUACUUUCAAAAACAAGGAUACCAUGGGGUUGCGAUCCUUUGUUGCUGGUGGUAAACUACUGCAGAUUAAUAGGAAGACGGAGUUUGUGUUUGCAAGUCAUUCUUUCGAUGUUUGGGAGAGCUGGAUGUUGGAUGGUUCCUUGCUGGAGGGUUUCAAGCUUAUCAAUUGCAGAAAUCCUUUGGCUGUUCUGGACGUCUGUAUUGAGAUCCUUGCAGCUGCGAGUGAAGAAGAUGGAGUCACUCGGUGGCUAGAUUAGCCAUGCUGGGGAUUGUAAAAAUGAGCUGACUCGUCAUCGCUGUUUGGUUUGAUUUGCUUCCAACUUCUUUCUGGUUUCUGCCGAAGCACACAAUUUUGUUUUUUCUAAUAUAGGAACCCUGUAGGCACACCAUGUAUGUCGAACACGUUUGUUAGUGUGGAAUGUGUAAGAAGGCAUGUGAAGUGCUGUUAGUGUUACAGUUAUCCUUGUGUUCCAUGUCCUUGUCACGAGAGGAAUUUUUACAGGAUUUAUAUCUUGUGUAAUCCAGCAGCCGAUUCACUGACUUGCACUAGGACAGCCGGUUCUCGUGAGAAAUUUCGAUUGUUCAAGAUGUGUAAAAAUAAAAUGCAAUCGAAGAUGUCCAGUCCAAAACGAGAUUUCUAAUUCUCAAACCAAGUGAGACGUGAGAAUGAGACCAGGGAAGAAUCUGCGAAGCUACGUUGAUCUAGGGUGGUGCAUUGGCACCAGGGUGAAGUGAAGAAAAACUUUAUUAGAAAUCUGUUCAUAUCAACUAUAUGAAUUUAUGGUAUUGUUAGAUGUACAGUGAAUAUGAAUUUAUGUUAUUGUCAGAUGUACAGUGAAGUGACACCAAGAUCAUUUCGACUCCGGCUUCGCCACUGGUCGUCUUUCACAAAAAGAGAUGAGCAAGUUGAAGUUGGA